This 292-nucleotide ribosomal RNA is filed under the name uncultured bacterium. RNAcentral's name for it is "partial 16S ribosomal RNA". It matches the Rfam family "Bacterial small subunit ribosomal RNA", at positions 505 to 796 of the family's 1533-position model. The record is from RNAcentral.
GUGCCAGCCGCCGCGGUAAUACGGAGGAUCCAAGCGUUAUCCGGAAUCAUUGGGUUUAAAGGGUCCGUAGGCGGGACAAUAAGUCAGCGGUGAAAGUCUGUGGCUCAACCAUAGAAUUGCCAUUGAUACUGUUGUUCUUGAGUGUUUAUGAAGUGGUUAGAAUAUGUAGUGUAGCGGUGAAAUGCUUAGAUAUUACAUGGAAUACCGAUUGCGAAGGCAGAUCACUAAUAAAAUACUGACGCUGAUGGACGAAAGCGUAGGUAGCGAACAGGAUUAGAAACCCGAGUAGUCC